GUCUACGGCCAUACCACCCUGAACGCGCCCGAUCUCGUCUGAUCUCAGAAAAAUAGUAAAGAUAGGGAAGGUGUGAAUGCUGCUUUUUCAAGCAAACAGAUCAUUUUUCUAAGUUUUCCCAUAUACU
This 127-nucleotide ribosomal RNA is filed under the name Neogale vison (American mink). Lineage: Eukaryota; Metazoa; Chordata; Mammalia; Carnivora; Mustelidae. The record is from RNAcentral.